AACCCAUUUCCGGCGAAAUCACCGCCACCGUCCACACCACCGGCCAUUAGAGGAUCCUCUCUUCCUCCUCUUGCAUCUAAGCUUGUUUUGAUCUAUGGAGGAAGAUUUGAAGGUGUUUGAGCGUGUGAACAGUAACGUGAACAGUAACUGUCGAGUUCUUGGUUUUUGUUUGAUUUCUCCGGCCUUUUCUGCUUGAUUUUGGUUGUUGUUGCAGGACGUAUUGAUCCCUUGAGCAAGGGGAUACGGGUAGGCAGCAGGAUUAGCUGCGAGACUCACCUGUGAGUGGACUUUUGUUUUA
Molecule: long non-coding RNA, 298 nt
Organism: Rosa rugosa (rugosa rose)
Lineage: Eukaryota; Viridiplantae; Streptophyta; Magnoliopsida; Rosales; Rosaceae
Exons: 3
Source: RefSeq, a predicted model, not a curated record